GGUAAAUGUAGCUAAUUCUAAGAAAUGUUAUGCAAAUGAAAGUGACAUGUUCUAUAAAAAAGAAACUUUCCUAUCACACCCAUGUAAAUCUCUUAACGUUUUCUCUGUUUAUGUGCAGACAUGUGCUUAAAUUAUAUAAGCUUUGUAGUUCUGUACUUGGUUCAAGUUACUAGAUAAUUUGUUAUAUUCUCCAAAGGAUUCAUGGAGCUGUUAUCUAAUUUAUAACAGGGAGAACCUUUGUGCAUUUUCUA
RNAcentral lists this unclassified non-coding RNA (251 nucleotides) under Hevea brasiliensis (rubber tree). Lineage: Eukaryota; Viridiplantae; Streptophyta; Magnoliopsida; Malpighiales; Euphorbiaceae. The record is from RNAcentral.